GCCUGGUGCCUGAGAUUUACUACGGAGGUGGGCAGAAAGUUUAUUUCUAUUAAGUUUCCAAGUAGUACUGAUAUUGCCGGUUCAAAUUUUGAGAACCACUGCUCUAAGUCAUUUAGUUCAUAUUUCUUAUUUAUUUGCAUAUUUGUUUCUUUCCUUCAUGUAGGAAUAAAUCUGUACUUAGAGGGAAUAAAUUCAUGUGAAAUAUUAGAAGACUACUUUAAGAAUAAAAGAAUGGACAUAGUAUCUUCUGAAGCCUUUUCUACUCCUGUGAUAUUUUUCAUUUUCAAGUAUGAUACAAGUCUAAAGAAGAUAAACAUGCCCUGCUUUUAUCAGGUGCUUUGUGUGCAGUGGCAUGUAAUUAGCCAACAGCUUGGGGCUUGAUUAAA
This 386-nucleotide long non-coding RNA is filed under the name Sus scrofa (pig). RNAcentral's name for it is "lncRNA (ENSSSCG00070022415.1)". Lineage: Eukaryota; Metazoa; Chordata; Mammalia; Artiodactyla; Suidae. The record is from RNAcentral.